AGCAUGAUAUCAGAUUUUAAAUGACACUGAACUAACAAAAUUCCAAAUAGUCCAAUUAUGAAUUAGUCCAAAAGUCCUAUUAGUACAACUAAAGCAUUGUCCAGAAAACAUUAGUAUGCUAAGUAUCGAAAAUGAAGCAAAUACAGCAAAAAACAAGAAAAAUCAAGUAAAAGCCAAUAAUCAUUCAUUAUUUAUCUUCAAAGAUGUUCAUACAUGUUGAUCCAACCUUCACAUAGCACUUGAGGCCAUAGAAAUACCUGGAGUUUGAAGAGAAAUAGAAAGAUGGAGGUCAGCUAGGCAGUAGUAACACGCAGCAGUAACAAACAAUAAUCAGCAGCAGCUUUGCACUAAUUUUGACCUAGAAAUGAUAUCUCAAUAGACCAACAUUUAAUUUCAACUGAACAACACCAGAGAACAACCAAACAACAGCUCGAAUAAGCUCAAAUAAACCCAUAAACGACCCUAGGAACUUCUGAAAACCACCAUUACUCUAACAGGACUAUUCAAACCAUUUUUGCAACCUUAUUCAAGCUGGGAAUUGAAUUUCAGAACCAUAAACUUUGACUACUAAAGUCACAAAGGAACGUAAGCCAUUUGCAACCUCAGGUGAACUAAUGAUUUGAUUUUAGAACUUGGAAAACUCAAAUACACCCUAGAAAAUUCAAUGGAAUAGUAAGUUUUAGGUUUAGCUGCCCCAAGUUUUCAGAGUUUUCUUUUUCUGUCCAAG
Molecule: long non-coding RNA, 727 nt
Filed under: Nicotiana benthamiana
Lineage: Eukaryota; Viridiplantae; Streptophyta; Magnoliopsida; Solanales; Solanaceae
Description: long non-coding RNA (NBEN_LNC022982)
Source: RNAcentral